Long non-coding RNA from Chroicocephalus ridibundus (black-headed gull), 1271 nucleotides. RefSeq lists it as uncharacterized. The transcript has 4 exons. Lineage: Eukaryota; Metazoa; Chordata; Aves; Charadriiformes; Laridae. The record is from RefSeq and is a predicted model, not a curated record.
AAACCUGUCGCACCAAAAAUUGCCAAAAGAGAAAAAGAGCGAUGAGUCCUUAAAAGUUGUUUAAAUGAUGUUAAUAAAGCCUUUCCUGACGUACGCGAGGCGCUCCUCCAUCUCCAGGGGCUUUUCGGCAGUUAUGCUGACUGGACGAAGAGUUCCCGAGAGCUAGAGUCGGUAAUUUUUAAAAAAAAAACAAAACAAAACACAAAAAAACCUUUGCGUUGGUGUCCCAGUGCCUUAUUUUGACCGGUUUCGAAGCAGACGGUUCGGCACCGCCUCGGAUGUGCAUGCACCCUGAUCGCGUCCCAGGUCCCACCGCGGCUUUGCUUGCAGUCGCCUCCCCGUGUAGUACAGAUGGUGAGAGGAGGAGAAAAAAAAAAAAAAUACAUAUAUAUAAUGUUUUGUGACGGAGUCGCUGCAUUCUCCUGUACUGGGGGCUCCUGAGCGGUUGGAAGGCUGGUCCAGUGCAGGAGUUACAACUCCGCGUUUGCCGCCGGAGACUUCGGGGGCACGUUUGACAACCGUCGAGAAGAAGCUAACACUGCUGCAUCGUUGGCUUCAGAACCCUCGCGCGUUUAUGCUUGUUAGAAUUAACGCGACACGCAGACGAAGACACCUUGAAAUGCAAGCUUGCCCUUGAUUGCCUUGACACGCUUUAACCUCCCGUGGAUCCCUGCGGCCCUGCGGGAGCGUCGCUAGGCUGCGGGUGCCUUCCCCCCCAAAAGGAUGCCGUGGUCGUGCUCCGCAAGGCUCUGCUCUGUAAAUCCCGACAUCAGCGAACGGCGUGAGCGGGGAGAAGCCGAUCUGCAGCCGGAGGUUCAUCCUGAGCCUGCUCCCUUGGGAACUCGAAGGCUCGAAGGCUCUUCUCCCACCUCCCAGCCCGAUGGUCCUCUGUGCUGUGGCGAAUAACACCGAGCCCGGGAGAGCGAGCGGCCACGGUGCAGCAUCCUUCUCCACGGAAAGAGGUUUUUGUGGAACGGCCGCUCUCCGUAUCCUCAUGGAAGUUUAAUCCUUGUCUCUCUGUACCAUCUCUAUCUUUGCAUCUCUCCCCGGGCCUAAUUAUUGGUAUCUAAAUAGAAUAAGCUACAAUCUCCCGCCGCGUUUUGGCACUCUGGAGGUCCUUGGCCGGCUCAUCCCAAGAGGGAUAUCGUGUGAGCCGCGGCGCAGGCGGAGCCGGAGCCUGGUGUGGGAAAGGAGAGUCCCGUGGCGCCGGAGGUGGUGACGUGGGUGGCUUCUCCCGUGACCCUGAUGGUUUUGGUUUAGUCUCGAAGGUG